Molecule: ribosomal RNA, 872 nt
Filed under: uncultured marine group I thaumarchaeote
Lineage: Archaea; Thermoproteati; Nitrososphaerota
Description: bacterial SSU rRNA
Rfam family: Archaeal small subunit ribosomal RNA
Source: RNAcentral
UUCCGGUUGAUCCUGCCGGACCUGACUGCUAUCGGAUUGAUACUAAGCCAUGCGAGUCUUUGUAGUAAUACAAGGCAGACGGCUCAGUAACGCGUAGUCAACCUACCCUAUGGACGGGAAUAAUCUCGGGAAACUGAGCAUAAUACCCGGCGUACCACCAUUCCUGGAAUGGUUGGUGGUUAAAAUGAUUCGUCGCCAUAGGAUGGGACUGCGGCCUAUCAGCUUGUUGGUGAGGUAAUGGCCCACCAAGGCGAUUACAGGUACGGGCUCUGAGAGGAGAAGCCCGGAGAUGGGUACUGAGACAAGGACCCAGGCCCUAUGGGGCGCAGCAGGCGAGAAAACUUUGCAAUGUGCGAAAGCACGACAAGGUUAAUCCGAGUGAUUUCUGCUAAAGGAAUCUUUUGUUAGUUCUAAAAAUACUAGUGAAUAAGGGGUGGGCAAGUUCUGGUGUCAGCCGCCGCGGUAAAACCAGCACCUCAAGUGGUCAGGAUGAUUAUUGGGCCUAAAGCAUCCGUAGCCGGCUUUGUUAGUUUUCGGUUAAAUCCAUGUGCUCAACACAUGGGCUGCCGAAAAUACUGCAUGGCUAGGGAGUGGGAGAGGUAGACGGUACUCGGUAGGAAGGGGUAAAAUCCUUUGAUCUAUCGAUGACCACCUGUGGCGAAGGCGGUCUACCAGAACACGUUCGACGGUGAGGGAUGAAAGCUGGGGGAGCAAACCGGAUUAGAUACCCGGGUAGUCCCAGCUGUAAACGAUGCAGACUCGAUGAUGCAUUGGCAUAUAGCCAGUGCAGUGUCGCAGGGAAGCCGUUAAGUCUGCCGCCUGGGAAGUACGUACGCAAGUAUGAAACUUAAAGGAAUUGGCGGGGGAGCACC